RNAcentral lists this ribosomal RNA (750 nucleotides) under Mucor indicus. RNAcentral's name for it is "SSU rRNA". It matches the Rfam family "Eukaryotic small subunit ribosomal RNA", at positions 830 to 1590 of the family's 1831-position model. The record is from RNAcentral. Lineage: Eukaryota; Fungi; Mucoromycota; Mucoromycetes; Mucorales; Mucoraceae.
UCCAAUCCUCUGGGCAUUGCAUUAGUACUCUACAUGUGAAUAAAAGCGGUUGCGGGCAUUUGUAUUUGGUCUGUAGAAGGGAAAAUUUUGGAUUGUCCGAAAAACUACUACUGGGAAAGCCUUUGACCCAGGACGUUUUCAUUGAUCAAGGACUAAAGUUAAGGGAUCGAAGACGAUUAGAUACCGUCGUAAUCUUAACCACAAACUAUGCCGACUAGAGAUUGGGCUGGUUUACUAUGACUAGCUCAGCAUCUUACCAAAAGUAAAGUUUUUGGGUUCUGGGGGGAGGAUGGGACGCAAGGCUGAAACUUAAAGGAAUUGACGGAAGGGCACCACCAGGAGUGGAGCCUGCGGCUUAAUUUGACUCAACACGGGGAAACUCACCAGGUCCAGACAUAGUAAGGAUUGACAGAUUGAAAGCUCUUUCUAGAUUCUAUGGGUGGUGGUGCAUGGCCGUUCUUAGUUCGUGGAGUGAUUUGUCUGCUUAAUUCCGAUAACGAACGAGACCUUAUUCUGCUAAAUAGCUAGGCCAACUUUUUAGUGGGUUAAUAGAUUUAUCUAUCUGGCUUCUUAUAGAGACUAUCGGCUUCAAGCCGAAGGAAGUUUUAGGCAAUAACAGGUCUGUGAUGCCCUUAGAUGUUCUGCGCCGCACGCGCGCUACACUGAUGAAGUCAGCGAGUUUAUAACCUUGGACGGAAGGUCAGGAUAAACUUUUGAAACAUCAACGAGCUGAAUAAAGAGCAUUGCAAU